UACGUAGGGCGCAAGCGUUGUCCGGAAUUAUUGGGCGUAAAGAGCUCGUAGGCGGUCUGUUGCGUCCGCUGUGAAAACCCAGGGCUUAACCCUGGGCUUGCAGUGGAUACGGGCAGACUAGAGGCAGGUAGGGGAGAAUGGAACUCCCGGUGUAGCGGUGAAAUGCGCAGAUAUCGGGAGGAACACCGGUGGCGAAGGCGGCAUCCUGGACCGGUAUUGACACUGAGGCGCGAAAGCCAGGGGAGCAAACGGG
This 253-nucleotide ribosomal RNA is filed under the name uncultured bacterium. RNAcentral's name for it is "partial 16S ribosomal RNA". It matches the Rfam family "Bacterial small subunit ribosomal RNA", at positions 524 to 776 of the family's 1533-position model. The record is from RNAcentral.